This 305-nucleotide ribosomal RNA is filed under the name uncultured bacterium. Its description in RNAcentral is "bacterial SSU rRNA". It matches the Rfam family "Bacterial small subunit ribosomal RNA", at positions 335 to 658 of the family's 1533-position model. The record is from RNAcentral.
UUUCCUACGGGGCGCAGCAGUGGGGGAUAUUGCACAAUGGGGGGAACCCUGAUGCAGCGACGCCGCGUGGGUGAAGAAGCGCCUCGGCGCGUAAAGCCCUGUCAGCAGGGAAGAAAAUGACGGUACCUGAAGAAGAAGCCCCGGCUAACUACGUGCCAGCAGCCGCGGUAAUACGUAGGGGGCAAGCGUUAUCCGGAUUUACUGGGUGUAAAGGGGGCGCAGACGGAGAUGCAAGCCAGGAGUGAAAGACCGGGGCGAACCCCGGGACUGCUAUUGGAACUGCGUGGAUGGGGUGCAGGAGGGGG